Molecule: ribosomal RNA, 442 nt
Filed under: uncultured bacterium
Lineage: Bacteria
Description: partial 16S ribosomal RNA
Rfam family: Bacterial small subunit ribosomal RNA
Source: RNAcentral
CCUACGGGAGGCAGCAGUGGGGAAUAUUGGGCAAUGGACGCAAGUCUGACCCAGCAACGCCGCGUGAAGGAAGAAGGCUUUCGGGUUGUAAACUUCUUUUAAGGGGGAAGAGCAGAAGACGGUACCCCUUGAAUAAGCCACGGCUAACUACGUGCCAGCAGCCGCGGGAAUACGUAGGUGGCAAGCGUUGUUCGGAUUUACUGGGUGGAAAGGGCGUGCAGCCGGAGAGACAAGUCAGAUGGGAAAUCCACGGGCUCAACCCGUGAACUGCAUUUGAAACUGUUUCCCUUGAGUGUCUGAGAGGUAAUCGGAAUGCCUUGUGUAGCGGUGAAAUGCGUAGAUAUAAGGAAGAACACCAGUGGCGAAGGCGGAUUACUGGACGAUAACUGACGGUGAGGCGCGAAAGCGUGGGGAGCAAACAGGAUUAGAUACCCCUGUAGUC